Dermacentor andersoni is the source of this 1917-nucleotide non-coding RNA. NCBI's taxonomy places the organism in Eukaryota, Metazoa, Arthropoda, Arachnida, Ixodida, Ixodidae. The record is from RefSeq and is a predicted model, not a curated record.
UGUGCAGUUUUAUGUAGACUAAGCCAAAGCUACAAAGCACAGCUACGUUUCUUAAUAUUUGACAAUAUUCCCCAUCGCAUUCGAGUUGUUUUUUCAUGCCCAUCAGCUACAUUAACUACACCUCGACUUCCGAAGCAUUUGAUAAUGCAAAUGCAUUCAUUCUUUCUCGGGUCACUAUAAGAUCCCCUUUAAAUUUUAGUAGCCACUGAUGCUUGCGCAUACUAGAUACAUGAAAAUAGUUUAGCUACUCCGACGUGAUACUAUUGGGGAAGGUUGCCAGUCUGGUAGAAAGCAGCUGAUGGCAGCAUUGCAUUUCACAUCAUGUAAUGGCUUAAGGAGACCUUUUUCUCAUGUAACCUGCUCUCCACAGGACACAGAACUGAAGGAAACUAAUUUCACAGCAAUUUUUAAGGCUGAUUUAGAGAGAAUUUCUUUAGAACAGCCAGACAAGUAGUAUUGCUUAUUAUGCAGCACAUUUUAAAUAUCUGAACAUCUCUAAAACACUGCAAUGGUCCGGAAGGGUGGUUCUACAGAGGGGCUGGACAACCCCUCGAUAUUGCCUCCCACUCUUCCAGCACCAUUAAGCACAAAGUAUUGCGGUACCUUCCUGCACCCCCAGCAAAAAUGAAGCAUCAUGGUUUGCCCCCCUAACAGCAAAACUGUGGUCCACGAAGCGAUAAAAUGAAAUGCACUUUCAUCACUGCCAUUAACAGUCCUAUGCAUAAUUCUGUACUGCGGUUCUUCAGCUUGAAGAGCUAAUAUCUGCAGUGGCGAUUCAGUGGCCAACGCAUUCUGCUGCAGUAGACAACGUUGCAGGUUCGACGUCUGGCAGCAUUCCAUUGGUGGAGGUUGCGGGAAUGCAAAAUCACUUAUGUGCUUGGAUUUUGGUGCUAGUUUAAAAAAUUGGCAAGAAACCAUUGGACAAUGAUCGUCAAAGUUGAGUGGCAGCUUCCCAGUAGACCUGCCAAGAUUUCCUUGGUGGGACUGUUGGUUGAUGUUAGGAGCAUAUGUGGGUGCUGUAACGGCGCGCAGGUUCCAUGAUCGGCCCACAUUGAAACCCUUACGAGUAGAUGCACCGUGCACUUUCAUAAUCGGCCCAACAAGUUGCCAUUCCAAGGUCGGCGCAGUUUACUUGGCCACACAGCCGUCCAAGCAGAAUGAAGAGGAAGAGUCGUAGAAAGCUUCACUUUAAAACUGUAGGCAAUGAAAUUUAGUCCCCAGACCCCACUGUAGCAUUUCUUAUAACUAAGCUGUGGCUUUGCAGCAUGAAAUCCCAUUAUUUAACCAAACGAGCUCACAAACAACAGUAUACUUUCCAAACUUGUAGCAAGAAAGCAGUAGUUGCUGUGCUUGAACAUGAAGGAUCUAUCGUAGGUAUCCAGGAUUGAUGUUAAAAAUACGGUUUCAGAUCAAGCUCCUCUGAGAAUAACCACAACGUUUCUGCUGUGCUACAGCAUCUUAUGCGAAGAAGAAACUAGUAUAUUCCACACAAGGACAGAUUUAACAACACAGGCACUAUGAAUAUUCCUCCGUUGCCUCUUUAUUUCAUUAAACUACAAAAAAAAAUCUAAUUCCAGUCACUAAUAGCGGUGCCACAAGUGCACAUUCAAUGAGAGCUGAACAGUAUUGCAUUUGAAUCGCUCAAGGCAUGACUGUGGCUCUGCAGAAGUUAUCACUGCUGCUCAACAUAAGCAUGUCACAUGAACAACUUGCAGACAAUAAAAUCACACCACAGUAAAGCUAACGUGACAUCAGACUGGUCGAUUCAGAACGCCUCAAUAGCACUACAAACAUCAUGUAAGCAAACCACAUAGCCUUACUGAGAGUGCAAAAUGGCUGUGAUUAUGAUGAUGAACUCAUGUCAUUAGUACUAGGCCCACCUAUUGUGUAAGCCAUAUUUAAAGCUGUUUUACAAAA